UACGUAGGAUCCAAGCGUUGUCCGGAUUUACUGGGUGUAAAGGGUGCGCAGGCGGUCUGGUUAGUCAGGGGUGAAAUCCCGUCGCUUAACGACGGACCUGCCUUUGAUACUGCCAGUCUUGAAUUAGGGAGAGGUUCGUGGAAUUCCGAGUGUAGCAGUGAAAUGUGUAGAUAUUCGGAAGAACACCAGUGGCGAAGGCAGCGAACUGGCCCUAUAUUGACGCUCAGGCACGAAAGCAUGGGGAUCAAACAGG
Molecule: ribosomal RNA, 253 nt
Filed under: uncultured bacterium
Lineage: Bacteria
Description: partial 16S ribosomal RNA
Rfam family: Bacterial small subunit ribosomal RNA
Source: RNAcentral